This 253-nucleotide ribosomal RNA is filed under the name uncultured bacterium. RNAcentral's name for it is "partial 16S ribosomal RNA". It matches the Rfam family "Bacterial small subunit ribosomal RNA", at positions 524 to 776 of the family's 1533-position model. The record is from RNAcentral.
UACGUAGGGUGCAAGCGUUAAUCGGAAUUACUGGGCGUAAAGCGUGCGCAGGCGGUUAUGUAAGACAGAUGUGAAAUCCCCGGGCUCAACCUGGGAACUGCAUCUGUGACUGCAUGGCUAGAGUACGGUAGAGGGGGAUGGAAUUCCGCGUGUAGCAGUGAAAUGCGUAGAUAUGCGGAGGAACACCGAUGGCGAAGGCAAUCCCCUGGACCUGUACUGACGCUCAUGCACGAAAGCGUGGGGAGCAAACAGG